CUUUUAUCUCACUGAAUUUAUAAAGAAACAUUCUAAGCAAAAAAACACUAAAAUAUAAAUAUUUACUUCCCUCUAUAUAAAUUAGUUUCUGGCUUCUCCACCCCUUUUUGCACUUAGUGGAUAUGCAGUUUGCUAUAUUGAAUGAAUGCACAGGUACAUACUGCUUUAUGCUAGGAGCUAUCAAUAGUAUGUAGCUAAUACAUCAUAUUGAAUGAAAGACUUCAUAAAUCAGUUACAGGAGGGAUCAUACAAUGCUUUUAGUGCAUUUCCAAAGAGUCAUAAAAACUAUAAAUCAAUGUAUUUUUGAUUAAUCAACUCACAGUGUCAGCUUUUGGCAAUACUUAUCUGUUGUGUCCUUCUAACUGCAGGUGCACUGGAAAGAGGGCAACCAUCUGUCACAGGGAUGGUUAUGCAAGAAAACAGAAGCAAAAACUAUUAUUCUAUUGUCAACAUCCAGAUGAGUCCCAAAAUUUGCUGCAUUGGGGCUGAUGUUAAGGCAAUCUGACUUACAGUCUGGAAUUUGCAGUGAAAAUAAUAGAAUUUUGAACGGUGAGGUAAAAGAGCAGGUAGCUCAAGUGAGAGAAGAUGCUUGGCGAGAAAUUUGGACAAGAAUCAGAAGUUUUCAGAUUUCCAGAAUGAAAGAUAGUGGAAGUUAAGAGGAAAUUAUGACCGUGUAAAGCCCCUGAAACUUCACUCAGGUGAUGAAGGCUAAUUUAUAAUAUCUGACAAAGAUACUUCAAAAUUUUGGAUUCCUGUAGUUAGUAAUUUACCAAAAUUAAGCAGUCACGUUAGUAUUAUUUUUUUCAUUCUAUUUGAAAAAGUGUGAAGUUGUAAUCUGCAAUAACUUAAAGCAAGAGAAUGACAUAUCAGAAAUGUUAAGGACGUAGUCAGAUAUGGACAGCAUUUGACCAGAGGACUACACAAGUGAAGAACUAAUUUUAGUAAAAUUUGAGACAGGUAGAAAAGAUACAUUGGCUCAUGUGUGUGUGAGGAUUUAGGCUUACAUUUUGUUUUAUUAUGUUUUCCACUUCAUAUCAAUCACCUUCUGCUAAUAUAGUUUCUAAUUCAAAGAAGACACAAAAAUUUGUUGAAUGGGACCAAAAAAAUUAAAAACUGCAUGUUCCAAAUACUUUAUGUUAUCCUAAAAUUGAGUCUAAAUUAAAUAAAAUUACUACCAGAGAAUAUGAAGGAUUGUAU
This 1197-nucleotide long non-coding RNA is filed under the name Phasianus colchicus (ring-necked pheasant). RNAcentral's name for it is "lncRNA (ENSPCLG00000002019.1)". The record is from RNAcentral. Lineage: Eukaryota; Metazoa; Chordata; Aves; Galliformes; Phasianidae.